UACGUAGGGUGCAAGCGUUGUCCGGAAUUAUUGGGCGUAAAGGGCUCGUAGGCGGUCCAUCGCGUCGGGAGUGAAAAGCUGGGGCUUAACCCCAGUCCUGCUUCCGAUACGGGUGGACUAGAGGUAGGUAGGGGAGAUCGGAAUUCCUGGUGUAGCGGUGAAAUGCGCAGAUAUCAGGAGGAACACCGGUGGCGAAGGCGGAUCUCUGGGCCUUACCUGGCGCUGAGGAGCGAAAGCAUGGGGAGCAAACAGG
Molecule: ribosomal RNA, 253 nt
Filed under: uncultured bacterium
Lineage: Bacteria
Description: partial 16S ribosomal RNA
Rfam family: Bacterial small subunit ribosomal RNA
Source: RNAcentral